Molecule: unclassified non-coding RNA, 211 nt
Filed under: plant metagenome
Description: partial contains small subunit ribosomal RNA, internal transcribed spacer 1, and 5.8S ribosomal RNA
Source: RNAcentral
UAUCCGUAGGUGAACCUGCGGAAGGAUCAUUCAUAAUAAAGUGUUUUAUGGCACUUUUUAAAAAUCCAUAUCCACCUUGUGUGCAAUGUUAGAUCUCGUCAAUCUUGGCGAGAUUUUUAUACAUCAACUCAUUCUUUAACUAAUUUGUCUGAAAAAUAUUAUGAAUACUUAAUUCAAAAUACAACUUUCAACAACGGAUCUCUUGGCUCUC